UACGUAGGGGGCAAGCGUUAUCCGGAUUUACUGGGUGUAAAGGGAGCGUAGGCGGCCAUGUAAGUCAGAAGUGAAAGCCCGGGGCUCAACCCCGGGACUGCUUUUGAGACUGUGUGGCUGGAGUGUCGGAGGGGUAAGUGGAAUUCCUAGUGUAGCGGUGAAAUGCGUAGAUAUUAGGAGGAACACCAGUGGCAAAGGCGGCUUACUGGACGAUCACUGACGCUGAGGCUCGAAAGCGUGGGGAGCAAACAGG
Molecule: ribosomal RNA, 253 nt
Filed under: uncultured bacterium
Lineage: Bacteria
Description: partial 16S ribosomal RNA
Rfam family: Bacterial small subunit ribosomal RNA
Source: RNAcentral